ACACCCCUCAAGCUUGCUUGGUCUUGGGGCUCGCGUCUUCGCGGCCCUUAAAAUCAGUGGCGGUGCCGUCCGGCUCUCAGCGUAGUAAUUUUUCUCGCUCGUGGGUCGUCCGGUAACGCUGACAACUACUUUCAU
This 135-nucleotide unclassified non-coding RNA is filed under the name uncultured Coniochaetales. RNAcentral's name for it is "sequence contains ITS2". The record is from RNAcentral. Lineage: Eukaryota; Fungi; Ascomycota; Sordariomycetes; Coniochaetales.